Tripterygium wilfordii is the source of this 492-nucleotide long non-coding RNA. RefSeq lists it as uncharacterized. NCBI's taxonomy places the organism in Eukaryota, Viridiplantae, Streptophyta, Magnoliopsida, Celastrales, Celastraceae. The record is from RefSeq and is a predicted model, not a curated record. The transcript has 2 exons.
GGCAAUUCUAAUCUUUUCCAUGAUAUGACAAGAAGGGAUUUGUGAAAACUUGCAAGGAAGCCAUGGUCCAAAACUCCAAACCCGUGUCUUUGAAUCAUCACAUUGAUGCCCCAUUCUUUCAGAAAAUGGUACAAAACAAUGAGGUCAUAGCCACAUCAAGUACCCCAGAACAACCAUCAAAGAGAGAACUUUGACUACAUAUACAAAGGCAAAAGAAGAUGGAUUCAGGAGGAACCAGUGCACCUGCGCACUUUUUGACCGUUAAGAUAUGAGAGUUUGGGGAUUGGGAUGAGGAUCCUCCGUUAAAAAAGCUUCUGAUAGCUCUCGAUGUGGUGGGAGAGGCGGUAGUUGGCCAAAAAAGUGAAGUCCGCAAGAGAAGAUAGAAGGCAAGAGAAGAUAGAAGGCAAGAGUUACUGUUAUGAGAGAAGAAUGCUAGGAGAAAAAAAAAAAAGAAAGAGACAAUUUAUGAUUAAAAACAUUUAAUAUUAUAAA